GUAUUAUAUCUUUCUCUCACCUAAUUCUUUUCUAACCAUCGGGAGCAAUCCACCACAUGGAGUUGAGUUCCAAAGUGAUCUUCAUAUUAUGCAGGAAGACAAUGAUAAGGAUGAAGAUGAUGCUUUGCACAGAGAUUGGAAUAGCCCUAAGCAAAUGGGUGAUUGUAUGCAUGAAGGAGACUCAAAAGAAGCAAUUCGGGUCUGUCUUUAAGAUGUCGGGUUUACUCGGGUCAAGACCGACAACCGACCCGAGACCGAAAUUACAUGAAAUAUGGAACCGAUAGGAGCCCGAAAAACAUAAAAACAGGUCAGGUUUCCGGUUUUGUCUGGCCGGGUCUCGGGUUUUAUAUGGGUUACCCGAAUUUUGCUCACCCCUAGUUUCAACCAAACUAAGAUUUGCAGGAACCCGUGAAUAAACAGUUACUUAAUAGUCUUUGCAGACACCAGACACCACGUGAAGGCUGAACAAUACACAAAUACAGAGUACUGUCAUCUCAUUCAAUAUGCACAGUUGCAUUAAAUAAUGAGUUUCAACGUCUCUCUUUACACUAUAAAGCCGAUGUGGGACUUACUCCACUUCAACCCUUUCUUCAAUUUUCAACAUUUUAGAAUAUACAAAUCUAUAUAUCUGCUCAGAACCGAAGAGAUGAUUAUUACAGAAAAGAAAACCUUUAUUUUUCAAAGGUUUCGUAACGGUUCAUCAUCAAUAUGUUGUUGAUCACUUGGAUGCAGAGAUACCAAUACAGAAGUACAGAACCUGCAACUUCUGUUCGUGAAGAUUAUGUUCACAUUUAUAGGCCGAGACGGGUCGGAUUGAACUGCAAGGUUUCGUAUCGGUUCAUCAUCAAUAUGGUUGUUGAUCACUUGGAUGCAGAGAUACCACUACAGAAGUACAGAACCUGCAACUUCUGUUCAUGAAGAUUAUGUUCACAUUUAUAGGCCGAGACGGGUCGGAUUGAACUGCAAGGUAAAUACGAUGUAUUACAUGGUUAGGAGUGUACACGUGUCAAGCCACUCGUGAGCUAUCGGCUUUAAAAGCUCGAAUCAGUUGGGUUUAAUGCAUAAAUGAUCAAAUGAUGCGGGUAAAAUGGCUAUGAGAUGCGGUUCUAGACCCGCAUCUUUUGAUAAUUUAAGCAAAAACAAUCUUUACUCAAUAUAUUCAAGAGAUGUGGUUUUAUAACCGCGUCUCUUGGUGUUUAAGCUAAAAAAAUAUUUUAUUUUUUAAUUAUCAGGAAAUUUUAUUAAAAAUUCCCAUUAUAAACAAAUUUUCUAAAAAUGAAAAUUAAAACCAUAAAAAACAAAAUUAAAUAAAGCCAAUAAAAAAUAACCCAAUAAUAUGAAUUAUAAAGAUUUCAAAGUAACACAAAAGUACAAAAGUUUCAAACUAACACAUAUUAAAAGGAAAGUGAUAUUCAAUAACUUUCUCAAAUGAUAUUUUCAUACUUGCAACCCAGACCAACGUCUUUAAUUCAUACUUGCAACCGAAACCCUAGAAGUUGCCUAACAAAACAUAACGUUGUAUUAAUAAAAUGAAGCUUAAAAUGUAUACGCAAGUGUACAUAUGUAUAACAUAUUAACAUGCAAUCUUUAUAUUCAUAUGUUAAAAUGCUAUCAUACAUGAAUACACAUAAAACAUGUUGUUCCAAGUCUACCCUACAUAUGCACAUAAGACAUGAAGAUCCAAAUCCACGAACUACAAGUUCAACAAUACAACAAUCGACCAAUAUAUCUACCAUAUCAUAAAUCACAAACCAUACAAAAAGCAUUUAUCAAACCAUGCAAAGAUAUACAUGUCUUAUGUGAUUAUCAAAGUUAAUGAGUUACAAGUGUCUUGGUCAGGUUGAACCAUAUAUAUGUAUAUAUAUUAUACUAAUACACACACAUAUAUAUACAUCCUUAUACUACAUACUCAACAAUUUUUUAAUUGGCCCGUUAGAUAUAAAUGAUCAUUAAAUGGUAAAAUUUUAGCUAACCUUGAGAUGCCUUUACAGAGUUUAUGGCCAGCCCUUAAACAUCAAAUACCUCCUUAAUCCAAUGUUCCACUAAGUCUAUGACCAUAAUUUGAACUUCCUCAUGCAAAGUCUUCUCUUUUGUAUUCCAACUAUCUAAAUGUAUAGAAAUAAAUUAAAAAGUUGAUUAUUCUAAACUUUAAAACAACAUUAGAUAAUAUAACUAAUAAACUAUAAAGAAUAAGUCUUAACUAAGUACUUAUAUUAGAUCGCUACUGUCACUGUUGUUGAGUUGUGUACCUGAACCAUUCGUUCCAUUGUUUGCCGGUGUGGAUGUUAUACUCUCAAAAUCCGGUAACUUUGAACUAAUUGAAACUCAAAUUUAAACUAACCUAGUGGUAGUAUCUUUAUGUACGAAAGAGCUGAAGAAUACAACUCAAUAAUAUGUACUUAGUAGAUAGGAGCAAUAAUGGUAUGAACUUAGAUCAUAUAAAGCCAUGAUAUUAACAAUAACUUCAGGGUCAAAUUCAAAUAGAAAAUUGUUGCUUAAUGUAGGGGUGAGGAUUGCCGAGCUAUAUUUCUAAAGCUCGAGCUUGCCUCGUUCGUAAGUAGUUUUUCUAGCUCAAGCUCGCCUCAGGCUCAGCUUGUUUACUAUUUGUUAAUUACUUUAUAUGCAUUUAUACUUAACUUUUAUUAUAGUUUUUUAUAUAAUAUAUUAUAUUAUAUAGUUUUUUAUCACAAUUUUGAUACAUAUAAACUAUCAUAUAUUUAUAAGUUUCAUAUAUUUUAAAUACAAAUUAAAAAAAGAGUGAAUUUCAAGGAUUGUCAUUUAUUUUUAUACCCAUUUUCAGGCGCUGUCCUUUAUGUUCAAACUUGACGAGUUUUGUACUUUAUGUUUUAAAAUCCUGCAUGUUAUCUCCUUUAUGCCUAACCCAGUUAAUUUUUUUCUCUUAAAUUAGGUCAUGUGCAGAUCACAUGAGGGUAUAAUUGUCUUUUCAUCCUAUUAUUUAUAAGAAAAAAAUAUAUAUAUAUAUUACCUUCAUAAACCCCUCAUUCUCCCUCUGUAACACCAUCUCUCUUUAAACUCUUUUACCCCUCUCUCUCUCUCUCUAUACCUGUUCAUCCAACCACCGGUGCACACAACCAAUCCCCACCUCUUCAAUCUUCACCAUCAUUCACCACUAUCAUCCACCACAAAAGCCCCAUACCUUCACCAUCAUUCACCACAGUGAACUGAUUUUCAUUGAACCACUCCAACCGCCAUCUAAAGUUCUGGACACCAUGAUAACUUCCAACCAAACCACACCAACCAUCAUCACCGUCACCGGAGCACCUUCCACCUUGUCGGAAAGUUUGUAACUUUUAAACCAUGGUGGAGACUCACAGAUCUAACUAAGGAACGGACUCAGUUCAGAUACUCAUGGAUCACAGAUCUGUUGCCGGACUCAAUGUCAGGGGUGUUUCAAUGGAGGUGGAGUUGCGAUGAUCGGAGCACCCUAUACCAUCACUUCAAGAUUUGUUUUUUUUUUUCGAAUGGGUUUUUCCCAAAUGGGUUUCUGGUUUGAUUUUGACUUUUUGUUGUGAUCUUUACUCUAAAGUUUCUUUCUUUGGCCUUUUUCCUAGAAAAAUUUCAUGUUUACCACUU
Long non-coding RNA from Helianthus annuus (common sunflower), 3594 nucleotides. RefSeq lists it as uncharacterized. NCBI's taxonomy places the organism in Eukaryota, Viridiplantae, Streptophyta, Magnoliopsida, Asterales, Asteraceae. The transcript is spliced from 3 exons. The record is from RefSeq and is a predicted model, not a curated record.